Molecule: RNA transcript, 2228 nt
Organism: Labeo rohita (rohu)
Lineage: Eukaryota; Metazoa; Chordata; Actinopteri; Cypriniformes; Cyprinidae
Gene: rsrp1
Gene name: arginine/serine-rich protein 1
Exons: 4
Source: RefSeq, a predicted model, not a curated record
ACAAGCUGCACACGAGCCACUUCACGCUGAACCAUCCAAGCGCUCGCGAGAAAUCGACGACGUAUGCGAAAGAUAGACGUUGACUACUCAGAAACACGUCUGUUUCACGAAAUUGUUUUCAAUUUCGACGUUAUUUUGGAGUAAACAUACAUUCAUUUGACAGUUGUUGAAUUUCAAAUCGUUUCUGUUUUGAAUUCGCUUGAGGAGUAACGUUACCGCCUAAUACAGAGCGUUUUCCUUAGAAUCUUACUGUUGGGUCAAGUCCUUUUGACGGUUUAAUCAUGAAGGAGGCCAGCCCUGGGCGUCAAAGUGAGGGUGUGAAGCUCAUCUUUGAUCAGAAGGCUCCAUCUGGUCGGAGCUCCUCUCGUUCCUCAAGCAGCAGCAGUGACAGCUCGUGUGACAGCUCAUACUCCAGCAGUAGGGGCAGCCGCUCCUACCGCAGGUCACGGAGUUCAUCACGGAGCUCAUCCUCCGACAGCGGCUCUUCCUCACGCUCUCGCUCACGUUCCCGCUCCCGCUCCCAUCCACGCUGCUCUGGCCGCUCACAUUGCCGUCACAGACACCAUUCUCCUCCUCGCCGCUACCGGGCUCGCUCCCGCUCCUACAGCCCUUCUCCUGAGCACUCUUCCCACCGCAGACGCUACCAUCGCCGCAGUCGCUCUCCAUCCCCUUACAGCCACUCUAGACGCUACAGGCGUUCUCCAUCACGAUCCCGGUCUCGUAGCCGUUCACGCAGCCGCUCUCCGGGCUACUGGAGGGGAAGCAGGUUCGUGGGGAGGUACCGGUGCCGUUUUUCCCACUCUCCCAGGGGCUCCAGAGAUUACAGAAGCCGCUCUCGCAGCCGUGAACGCUCUUCGGUCCGCCUCAGCCUUGAGGAGAAGAAGUAUCUGCUGAAUGUGGCCAAAGCAAAUGCCGCCAGGAUUCUGGGAGUGCAGAACUUAGAGCUGCCAGCUAGCCUGAAGGAGCUGGAGGAGGAAGAGAAAAGGAGAUCUUCAUCAGAUAAUGCGGAAAGGGUGAGCGCUGACCAAGCAUCACAGAAGACACCCGCACAGGUGAGCCUCUCACACACGCAUACAGACAUGUUACUAACACAUCCAGUGUUUGUUUGACUUCUGUAAUGUUGCAUGAACGUCCUGAGUGCUUGACAGUAUUCUGACUUGUACUUCAAAUUACAUCUGUGAUCUCGGGACGUUGACUAACCCAUUGAAACGCGUCUAUUUAAAAUGUGAUUGCGCGCUGUACUUACCCAACCUGGGUCACCAUGUAAUCUGUCUCCUCAGACGUGAAUGAUUUUACCUGAUGGAUUUAAUGGAAUGAUGAACAGCACUUGUCCGGAUUAGAGAUGAAACUCCUCCACCCUUUGGACAAAGAGGGAGAGAGGGGGAGGUCACAUGACUUGAAUGACACCAGCUUUAAGUCUUAUGUGCACAACUGCAAAGGUUAAGUAAUUGGGUACAAUGUCAGCGGUAGCCUUGUUGAACAAAAACCAACCACAUGCAUUUGUGUGAUUUACCUCUUUCAGCAACACUUUCAGCCAACACACAACAGCACAUAUGCGGAAGAGUCUGGGGUCAGUAGAUUUUUUUUUUUUAAGUAAAUACUUUCAGCAAGGAUGCAUUGAAUUGAUCAAAAGUGACAGUAAAGAUAUUUAUAAUGUUAAAAAUAAAUACUGUUCUUAAAUAAUCCUGAAAAACAUAUCAAGGUUUUUACAAAUAUAUUAACCAGCACACUUGUUUCAACACUAGUAAGUAUUUCUUAAGUAGCAAAUCAGCAUAUUAGAAUGAUUUUUGAAGGAUCAUGUGACACUGAAGUAAUAGAGUAAUGCUGCUGAAAAUUUAACUUUACAUCACAGGAAUUAAUUAAAUUGUAAAAAUAUUCAAGUAGAAAAGUUAUUUUAAUUUGUAAUUAUAUUUCACCUUUUUACUGUAUUUUUGAUCAAAUAAAUACAGCCUUAUUGAGUAUGAGACUUUUCAAAAACAUUAAAAAAAAAAAAAUCAUACAGACCCCAAACUUUUGAACGGUAGUGUAUCUUUACAACUAUAGGAAAUUACUUAUGUUUGCUGAUGGUUGAACUGGGUUGCGUUGUCAUUUACCAAAAUCUUCCUCUGUUCAGCGAGUGUGAAGACCAGAGAGAGCUCGCUCUACGAUGACGGAUGGGGGUUUGGAAAAAUACACUCUCAUCAAUUAGUAUUUUUUUUUUUUUUUUUUUUUUUUUUUUUUUUUUUUUU